RNAcentral lists this long non-coding RNA (1786 nucleotides) under Nicotiana benthamiana. RNAcentral's name for it is "long non-coding RNA (NBEN_LNC012165)". Lineage: Eukaryota; Viridiplantae; Streptophyta; Magnoliopsida; Solanales; Solanaceae. The record is from RNAcentral.
AAUGACAAGUUAAAAGCUGGAAAAGAAACAAAACUUGGACCAAAUUUGUAGAGUAACCUCAUGAAAGAAUAUGGAUCAAACUAGGCAUGAAUCCUAUAAAUACAUAAGAAAAACAACGAACAGAAGGUGUUUUCCCUGCAAAUCCUUCCAAUAUAAGAUGUAGGCGAACUCAUAGAAACUCUCAAUAGCAUAAAUGAAGAUGAUAGAAUACAGAUGCACUAAACUACAGAAUUCUUGAGAGAAACACAACUAAUAUUUGCUAUCAAGAAACUUAGUGCACAUCUUGAGCUUCCAAUUGAUUUUAUGACUUCAAAUUCAAAGGUCAUACAUUCAUGGGUCUAAGAAGUACCUAGAAAGCAAAAAGAAAUAAAAUAGUGAAACGUCAGCAACAACAAACGAUGGUCAGCCAUACCUGGAAAAGCAGAAAUAAAUAGAAUAGUGCAAGGUCAGCAAUUUAAAACGAUGGUCAGCAACAGUGCUAACUGAAUGAAGUCAGUUUCAGCUCCAAACCAAUUCCACACAGACCCAGAUUCAAUUUCAAAUCUCAAAAACAAAUGAAAAUAGCAUUCCAAACACAAAUUGAGCUCAAAAUCAACUUUUGAAAACCAAAUUAACCAUCCUGAACCCCAUUUACAUCAAAGGCUACUCUCUAGAGAUCAAUUUCAGAAAAGAAAGACCAAUGGAAUAGUGUUUUUUUUAAAAGAACCUCGGUCGUCCUAUUUUCUCUGAUUUUUAUCUCCCAAAGUCUCCCUUGAAUGGUAAGAUAGGAUGCCUUUAUAGGCGAGAAAAGUAGGGCAGCCUAGACAAUUCAUUUUUGCACUUAGACCCUUUUCCAAUUCUCAUUUUAGUUUCUUGCUUGUUAACCAAGCUAGCCUACUUUCAGUUUUCUAGACGCUUCUUAAACAGUUACCAAAAGAUUCCCCUUUUCCUAUUUCCUAAACUACCCUCCCAACUCUGAAAAUUACACUCCCAUGCCAACCAGGGCAUAAAUACAAUUGGCCAAAACUAAUGGGUUCAGAUAAAACCCAAUUCAACCCUUCCUGGGUCUUUUAAUAUUAGGAGGCUUCUUUUAUCAGUGAAGAGCCCACGUUUCACAAGCUAAACCAUAGAGUCUCAGGGACUCGUGAAGUUUGGGUUUUAAGCAAAAUGAAAACAAAGGAAAAAGAAUAAAAGCAAGUUUUCAAAUUUAACAUCUGAAGCCAUUAUUGACUUCACAAGCUUGGGACCAAACAGGCAAGCAUGAAAAAUGAAACAAAAAUGCAAAAUAACAGUCUAAACAGAUGAGGACACAAUGUAAAAAAAAAAGGACAAUAACGACCUAAGUGAAGAGAAUACCAUCUCUAGAGACGACGAAUCGUAGCUUGACCAGACCUUGACAACUUCGUGAUGGGUCGGAACUCACAUUAUUCAACGGCUCUUUGCCCAAACGCCAUUAACUAAUGUCAACUUUGACUCAAAGCAUGCCAAAAAUCAUCGACAAAAUUAAGAAGUGAGAUCUUGACAAUUUCGACUACUUUGGAUUUGAGAUUUAAGGGAUUCCAUAGGGUAUUUUGGGAAAUGGGGGCUGGGGGUAUGAUUUAGACAGGUUUGGCGGUCGCCUGACAUGGAUUUGAGGUGGUUUGAGCUCUGUCGCUGCCGAAGAUGGGGAAGGGGUGUGGGGGUGGCGAUGGAUCGAAUGGGAUAGACAAGGUACAUGGGUGUUUGGAGGAAAUGAGGAGUCUCUGACCCUUUUUGGACAUAUUAAUGGUUUGAAGAGAUGGGUUUCAGACCAUUUAAUGCAUCAAAA